CGCCCAGCUUGGCGGAGACCGGUUUGCCAACCACAUUGGCAAACACGCUCCGCGAGCCUUGCGCUGAUAAGAAAAUCAGGAUCUGCCGGCAUUUGCGCCACGGCGCAGGAUCAGCUGUUGUUUUGUGAUGAUUGUGACAGAGGCUACCACAUGUACUGUCUGAGCCCACCUAUGUCUGAACCUCCAGAAGGAAGCUGGAGCUGUCAUCUGUGUUUGAGACAACUGAAGGAGAAGGCCUCAGCCUACAUCACCCUCAAUUAAUCUGUAGAGCUAGCUUUGCGUGCCUCUCAUCCUUUUGGCCCUCCAUCCUGUCCCAAACAUUCCCUCCGUCUGUCUGUCCGUCGGCUGCCCUUUUCACGGAGUGCCGAUGCGCCUCAGCGUUCGAACCCUGCGACCUUUGACUCAGCGCAGGACCCCAGCAACUUCCAUCUGAACAUCUUCUGAGGAGAGCUAUGCCGUAACUUUCGCCGUCCAUUUGUCAUUCACACUCCUCGGCUGUGAAUGGACGACAC
This is a long non-coding RNA of Hippocampus comes (tiger tail seahorse), 512 nucleotides long. RefSeq lists it as uncharacterized. The record is from RefSeq and is a predicted model, not a curated record. Lineage: Eukaryota; Metazoa; Chordata; Actinopteri; Syngnathiformes; Syngnathidae. The transcript has 3 exons.